RNAcentral lists this ribosomal RNA (384 nucleotides) under uncultured bacterium. RNAcentral describes it as "bacterial SSU rRNA". It matches the Rfam family "Bacterial small subunit ribosomal RNA", at positions 28 to 416 of the family's 1533-position model. The record is from RNAcentral.
GACGAACGCUGGCGGCGUGCUUAACACAUGCAAGUCGAACGGUGAAGCCCUUCGGGGUGGAUCAGUGGCGAACGGGUGAGUAACACGUGAGCAAUCUGCCCUUGACUCUGGGAUAACUUCGGGAAACCGGAGCUAAUACCGGAUAUGACACGCGGCCGCAUGGUCUGUGUGUGGAAAGAUUUAUUGGUCAGGGAUGAGCUCGCGGCCUAUCAGCUUGUUGGGGGGUAAUGGCCUACCAAGGCGACGACGGGUAGCCGGCCUGAGAGGGCGACCGGCCACACUGGGACUGAGACACGGCCCAGACUCCUACGGGAGGCAGCAGUGGGGAAUAUUGCGCAAUGGGCGAAAGCCUGACGCAGCGACGCCGCGUGAGGGAUGAAGGCC